RNAcentral lists this ribosomal RNA (420 nucleotides) under Bacteroides uniformis. RNAcentral's name for it is "bacterial SSU rRNA". It matches the Rfam family "Bacterial small subunit ribosomal RNA", at positions 78 to 496 of the family's 1533-position model. The record is from RNAcentral. Lineage: Bacteria; Pseudomonadati; Bacteroidota; Bacteroidia; Bacteroidales; Bacteroidaceae.
UGCUGAGUUUGAUGGCGACCGGCGCACGGGUGAGUAACACGUAUCCAACCUGCCGAUGACUCGGGGAUAGCCUUUCGAAAGAAAGAUUAAUACCCGAUGGCAUAGUUCUUCCGCAUGGUAGAACUAUUAAAGAAUUUCGGUCAUCGAUGGGGAUGCGUUCCAUUAGGUUGUUGGCGGGGUAACGGCCCACCAAGCCUUCGAUGGAUAGGGGUUCUGAGAGGAAGGUCCCCCACAUUGGAACUGAGACACGGUCCAAACUCCUACGGGAGGCAGCAGUGAGGAAUAUUGGUCAAUGGACGAGAGUCUGAACCAGCCAAGUAGCGUGAAGGAUGACUGCCCUAUGGGUUGUAAACUUCUUUUAUACGGGAAUAAAGUGAGGCACGUGUGCCUUUUUGUAUGUACCGUAUGAAUAAGGAUCGG